This 373-nucleotide ribosomal RNA is filed under the name uncultured delta proteobacterium. RNAcentral describes it as "bacterial SSU rRNA". It matches the Rfam family "Bacterial small subunit ribosomal RNA", at positions 521 to 896 of the family's 1533-position model. The record is from RNAcentral. Lineage: Bacteria; Deltaproteobacteria.
UAAUACGGGGGGUGCAAGCGUUAUUCGGAAUUAUUGGGCGUAAAGGGCGCGUAGGCGGUCUCUUAAGUCAGAUGUGAAAGCCCGGGGCUCAACCCCGGAAGUGCAUUUGAAACUAAGGGACUUGAGUAUGGGAGAGGGAAGUGGAAUUCCUGGUGUAGAGGUGAAAUUCGUAGAUAUCAGGAGGAACACCGGUGGCGAAGGCGACUUCCUGGACCAAUACUGACGCUAAGGCGCGAAGGCGUGGGGAGCAAACAGGAUUAGAUACCCUGGUAGUCCACGCCGUAAACGUUGAUUACUCGAUGUGUGCGAUACACUGUACGCGUCUGAGCGAAAGCAUUAAGUAAUCCACCUGGGGAGUACGAUCGCAAGAUUG